This 908-nucleotide ribosomal RNA is filed under the name Salmonella enterica. RNAcentral describes it as "partial 23S ribosomal RNA". It matches the Rfam family "Bacterial large subunit ribosomal RNA", at positions 570 to 1483 of the family's 2925-position model. Lineage: Bacteria; Pseudomonadati; Pseudomonadota; Gammaproteobacteria; Enterobacterales; Enterobacteriaceae. The record is from RNAcentral.
GCAGAGGGGGCUUAGUGGUGGGGUGACUGCGUACCUUUUGUAUAAUGGGUCAGCGACUUAUAUUCUGUAGCAAGGUUAACCGAAUAGGGGAGCCGGAGGGAAACCGAGUCUUAACCGGGCGUUAAGUUGCAGGGUAUAGACCCGAAACCCGGUGAUCUAGCCAUGGGCAGGUUGAAGGUUGGGUAACACUAACUGGAGGACCGAACCGACUAAUGUUGAAAAAUUAGCGGAUGACCUGUGGCUGGGGGUGAAAGGCCAAUCAAACCGGGAGAUAGCUGGUUCUCCCCGAAAGCUAUUUAGGUAGCGCCUCGUGAAUUCAUCUCCGGGGGUAGAGCACUGUUUCGGCUAGGGGGCCAUCCCGGCUUACCAACCCGAUGCAAACUGCGAAUACCGGAGAAUGUUAUCACGGGAGACACACGGCGGGUGCUAACGUCCGUCGUGAAGAGGGAAACAACCCAGACCGCCAGCUAAGGUCCCAAAGUCAUGGUUAAGUGGGAAACGAUGUGGGAAGGCCCAGACAGCCAGGAUGUUGGCUUAGAAGCAGCCAUCAUUUAAAGAAAGCGUAAUAGCUCACUGGUCGAGUCGGCCUGCGCGGAAGAUGUAACGGGGCUAAACCAUGCACCGAAGCUGCGGCAGCGACGCUUAUGCGUUGUUGGGUAGGGGAGCGUUCUGUAAGCCUGUGAAGGUGGCCUGUGAGGGUUGCUGGAGGUAUCAGAAGUGCGAAUGCUGACAUAAGUAACGAUAAAGCGGGUGAAAAGCCCGCUCGCCGGAAGACCAAGGGUUCCUGUCCAACGUUAAUCGGGGCAGGGUGAGUCGACCCCUAAGGCGAGGCCGAAAGGCGUAGUCGAUGGGAAACGGGUUAAUAUUCCCGUACUUGGUGUUACUGCGAAGGGGGGACGGAGAAGGCU